CAGAGGGUGCAAACGUUGCUCGGAAUCACUGGGCGUAAAGGGCGUGUAGGCGGGAAGGAAAGUCAGAUAUGAAAUCCCUGGGCUCAACCCAGGAACUGCAUUUGAAACUCCCUUUCUUGAGUGUCGGAGAGGAAAGUGGAAUUCCUGGUGUAGAGGUGAAAUUCGUAGAUAUCAGGAGGAACACCGGUGGCGAAGGCGGCUUUCUGGACGACAACUGACGCUGAGACGCGAAAGCGUGGGGAGCAAACAGGAUUAGAUACCCUGGUAGUCCACGCUGUAAACGAUGAACACUAGGUGUCGUGGGUAUUGACCCCCGCGGUGCCGCAGCUAACGCAUUAAGUGUUCCGCCUGGGAAGUACGGUCGCAAGACUA
This 372-nucleotide ribosomal RNA is filed under the name uncultured organism. RNAcentral's name for it is "bacterial SSU rRNA". It matches the Rfam family "Bacterial small subunit ribosomal RNA", at positions 526 to 896 of the family's 1533-position model. The record is from RNAcentral.